Non-coding RNA from Lupinus albus (white lupine), 2861 nucleotides. The record is from the annotation of a GenBank genome assembly. NCBI's taxonomy places the organism in Eukaryota, Viridiplantae, Streptophyta, Magnoliopsida, Fabales, Fabaceae.
GGAUCGAGCUGAGCCGGAGCUGCUCCUACUGACUAUGACUGGACAGCAGUGGACUCUUUCUCAAAGUCUGACCCUGCCACCUAUAUUUGAUUUGAUGAAGCAACCAUCACUGAAGCAAUUGAUUUUGUAGCCAGCUCAACUCCAUUUAAAAGGUUAGUAGCGAAAGGUAAGGCUUCAUUCCCGAGUGGACGAGAAGAAGGAGCAACCCCUCUUAAGUUAAGGGAAGAGAAGAAAGGCUAUUUUACUAGACUAGCUACCGAGCUGACUCAAGGAAGCCGGAAAGAAAGGGCUUCAAGACAGCUUCGGCAACAGAAAGUCGAGCUGAGGAAUACGGAAGAGAAGCGGAUUCAACUCAAUCUUAGCCUAAGAGCAGAGCAGUUCAGAGAAGAGAAUCAAAGGUCAACGGCCAAUGGAGGAUUUAUCCCUCCCCCGGAUUCAUCUUAAACCGACCGACCGAUAUGCCGAGAUGACAUCCAGCUCAAAAAAGAGCAAGAAAAGGAAUGGUCUCCGUGCAGCUUCAAGUCACGCCACUCUCACCAAGAUAGAAUCAUGGUCACAUCUGUAGUCUAUAUAUAGUUUAUAGAAGCGGAAUGCCAAUCGACACUGUAAUGGUAGCCAUCGGGAUUGAGUUCAGCUGCUUUUGACGAGACUGACGAAUGAGUAAACGGAAGAAUGAAUCAGAUGAGCUCCAGUCUGGACUCUCAUUGGUCAAAAAGGCGCAACGGGCCAAGAGAGAAUAAAAGGACACCAGAAGAGCAAGAAAAAGAGCUGUAUGAUAAGAGUCCUUAUCCUACCCACCCUUUUAAGUUUAUGGGAGUAGCAAGAACAGCUCCAUUUAAAAGGUUAGCCGCGUACCAAAGAGCUCGAUCAGCUAUUCUAUUUUUCAGUCCGGUUGACGCCACUCGAUAGGAAUAAAAGAGCAGACAGGUUUUUCGAAGGCUUCAAGCCCUGUUUCAGCUGAGAGCAUUGAUUCCCCUGGCACCUCUCUUCCACAGCUUGGCACGUUUAAAGAAGGUGCCUACACUCAAGUGUACAAAGUGGCAUAAAGUGAUUCUUUUCGGGUUCGGUCAGGAGGGACAAAAGAGAGAUGCUUUCUAUCAGUCAAAAGCAGAUACCGCCCCCCCUCAUGCUCCCGCGGUCCGCUUACCGAGGAAGAUAAAGGGAGGACCGGGGGCCAGAGCAAGUUGGGUUGGGGUAUAGAGCCGUAAGCGCGGGGGGGGGUUAAAGAGGACGUGCUCGUACGGUUCAAAGAAGGGUAUGAUCAACUCGUUGAUUGUUGGGAACUUUCACUCCUCUAUAUUCGAAAUAUGCCUUUCUAGGAGCAUUACGAUCUGCAGCUCAAAUGGUCUCUUAUGAAGUCUCUAUUGGUCUUAUUCUUAUUGUGCGCCUUGUGAGCGCGUUUGGAUCCGCGAAGGCAAUCGCUCGGAUGUUCCCCUAACCCAACCCGGGAACGGACCGGAGGGAACCGCAGCAUGGGGAAUGUCCGCGUCUCGUCGCAAGGCUCAUUGUUAGUUUUUGGUCAUAGGGCGGGCGGAUUUAUCUGAUCAAGGGCCGGGGCACAAGGGUCCUGGUACUAUCCAGGUGCGAAGAACCCCGGAGGUGACUGCAAUGAGCAGAAAUAUAACUCACCGGCCUAAACGACGAGCAAACACUCGAACGUGAGAGCAAGGGAUCACCUAACGAAUGGACGAGCUCCAAGGAGGGAGGAAAGAGGAAGGCAAGAACCAUGCUUUCAGAAAAGUGGCGGUCCGAAUCUUAUCUGAACUGCGAGAAUAACUGACUAAGCCAUGCCAUAAGGGUCAUUCUCCAAACGGGACGGGGUCAAGCCUUUAGGUUUUUUAGUAGGUUGGGUGACAGAUCGGCCAUAGGAGUACUCCGGGAUAUAAACCAGGGCAACCAAUGAAUGUCGAGCAUACGACGAUGCCGCCCGUUUUAAUUUCGUGGAAGUCCCCGGCAGAGGAAAGGGCUGUAGGUGAUGGCGCGUUCUGCUUCUUAGGAAGAGAGGGGCGCUGAAAUCGUUCCUAUUGAUUGGGUCGUGCGUGGCAGCUGGUAUAGAUGAAUAAAGGCGGGGCCGCUUGAAGGGGACCUUUUUUAUUAUUUUAUAGGCGGCAAAGCUGAAUAGGAAAGGGGCCGAGCUGACUGAUGAGUGCCUUUUUAGCCUUAAAAAAAAGGGCUCUCAUGUGAAGCUAACAUGGCUGGCUACAUAAAGAUAAGUAUAGCCAAAUCAAGAUGAGACGUGACGGACGGUCAGAGGCCGCAGCGGGACUAUCAUAGGAAAGCCCGCCCCCGCUAGCUAACAUAGAAAGAGAUUCCCGGAUAGCAAAAGUAUCUAUGUGAAUCUCUUCCCGACCAGGCCAGGCCGAAUCGGGCCACCACUUGGGAUGGGAAUGGCUCAGCCCAUAUGCAUCAUUUGAUGAAAGCACUCCAGUCGCUUCCUUCCUCGAAGUGGCUUGUCAACCACGCUUUCCCUCUCCCUCAAAACAAUGCUCCUCACCAACCCAAGGCCCGGCCUUUGGUUGGGUUGGGGCAAGAAAGCAAUGAGUAGUUAGCUCCAGGACCCCACCCCCUAAAAAAAGAGCAGGAUGCCGGCCGAGAUGGAGCUGGGAGCCAACCUAUACUUUCCUGGGGCUUGCCUUGCCCCAACAUCUAAAGAAAAUGCGGGCGCCGAAAAGGAACCAGCCCAGCCUCUUCAAGAAAGCUUUGCUUGGUAGGCGCUGCCUAUUCACUCGGACAAUGCUCUAAACACGAAAGUGCCCCCUUCUCCCAUGCUGAGUCACAGGCAGCGCCUCGGAAAGCCCUAUAGGAAAGGCGAGCCACAUGCAGGGAAACUUGCACGUGUGGUUCUGGCCGGGGACCCCGGU